Molecule: ribosomal RNA, 413 nt
Filed under: Caulobacter sp. 12-67-6
Lineage: Bacteria; Pseudomonadati; Pseudomonadota; Alphaproteobacteria; Caulobacterales; Caulobacteraceae
Description: bacterial SSU rRNA
Rfam family: Bacterial small subunit ribosomal RNA
Source: RNAcentral
UCAACCUGAGAGUUUGAUCCUGGCUCAGAGCGAACGCUGGCGGCAGGCCUAACACAUGCAAGUCGAACGGAUCCUUCGGGAUUAGUGGCGGACGGGUGAGUAACACGUGGGAACGUGCCUUUUGGUUCGGAACAACUCAGGGAAACUUGAGCUAAUACCGGAUAAGCCUUUCGAGGGAAAGAUUUAUCGCCAUUAGAGCGGCCCGCGUAGGAUUAGCUAGUUGGUGGGGUAAAGGCCCACCAAGGCUACGAUCCUUAGCUGGUCUGAGAGGAUGAUCAGCCACAUUGGGACUGAGACACGGCCCAAACUCCUACGGGAGGCAGCAGUGGGGAAUCUUGCGCAAUGGGCGAAAGCCUGACGCAGCCAUGCCGCGUGAAUGAUGAAGGUCUUAGGAUUGUAAAAUUCUUUCACCG